This is a long non-coding RNA of Mya arenaria, 647 nucleotides long. RefSeq lists it as uncharacterized. The record is from RefSeq and is a predicted model, not a curated record. Lineage: Eukaryota; Metazoa; Mollusca; Bivalvia; Myida; Myidae. The transcript is spliced from 6 exons.
GUAAGCUGCAGUUUGCUGCGGCUUUUCCCCCUGGCAGUUAGUCCUGCAAUCUGAAUCCAGGAGAUGCAGCUCUGAACCCAGUAUGUCAGAAGAAUGAAGAUGUUGUCAACUAGUUGCUGUUUGGGACAUUUAAGUAAAGUCAACCGCCAUCUACCUUGGACUGCAAGAUUCAUUUCUUCCGAAGGAUUCUCAUAGCUUUCCAGAUUCUCCAUGUUUUGUGUGGGCAGAGUGGUACCAGUCACCUUAGCUACCUCACAGACAAAAGACUGAUGCAGACUGUCCCUGCAGUUUACAGCAAAGCUUUCAAUUGUAGCCCUUUGAACUUCAGAUUCUGCCGAUUGCGUAGUUCCAGAGCACGAGGCCAAUUUUCCAGCCGUGUGGAUUUGACAUCUCCAGCCAAACUAAAGCCAGGAUUAAUAUUAGACUCCUUAACAGCACGUUUGGGAUGGCAAAAGAUACAAAUAUGUGAGCAGAGAUGAAAGGGAAAACCUUAAACCAAGGGGACCAAUGGCAGGCAAAAGGUGGCCCUUAACAUGAGUGUCAACCUGAAGAUACCAGUCCAUGUAACCAAGCUGACCAAGGCUUCAGUGACAUGGAGUAAGAAUGAGAAACCAGUCCUCUCCCACUGCAACCUGACUGUUAAUGUA